RNAcentral lists this ribosomal RNA (594 nucleotides) under uncultured bacterium. RNAcentral's name for it is "bacterial SSU rRNA". It matches the Rfam family "Bacterial small subunit ribosomal RNA", at positions 912 to 1511 of the family's 1533-position model. The record is from RNAcentral.
GACGGGCACCCGCACAAGCGGUGGAGCAUGCUGUUUAAUUCGAUGAUACGCGAAGAACCUUACCUAGACUUGACAUCCCGAGCAAAACUAUAGAAAUAUAGCAGAGGUUAUCUCGGUGACAGGUGGUGCAUGGUUGUCGUCAGCUCGUGUCGUGAGAUGUUCGGUUAAGUCCGAUAACGAGCGCAACCCUCGUCUUUAGUUACUAACAGUUCGGCUGAGGACUCUAAAGAUACUGCCGGUAAUAAACCGGAGGAAGGUGGGGAUGACGUCAAAUCAUCAUGCCCCUUACGUCUAGGGCUACAGGCGUGCUACAAUGGCUGGUACAAAGAGUCGCAAUACCGUGAGGUGGAGCUAAUCUCCAAAGCCAGUCUCAGUUCGGAUUGAAGUCUGCAACUCGACUUCAUGAAGCUGGAAUCGCUAGUAAUCCUGAAUCAGAAUGUCAGGGUGAAUACGUUCCCGGGUGUUGUACACACCGCCCGUCACGCCAUGGGAGUUGGUAAUACCCGAAGUCGGUAGCCUAACCUUUUAGGAGGGGGCCGGCGAAGGUAGGAUCAGCGACUGGGGGAAGUCGUAACAAGGUAGCCCUACGAAAAC